GAUGAACGCUGGCGGCGUGCCUAAUACAUGCAAGUCGAGCGAACAGACGAGGAGCUUGCUCCUUUGACGUUAGCGGCGGACGGGUGAGUAACACGUGGGUAACCUACCUAUAAGACUGGGAUAACUUCGUGAAACCGGAGCUAAUACCGGAUAAUAUUUCGAACCGCAUGGUUCGAUAGUUAAAGAUGGCUUUGCUAUCACUUAUAGAUGGACCUGCGCCGUAUUAGCUAGUUGGUAAGGUAACGGCUAACCAAGGCAACGAUCCUGAGCGGACCUGAGAGGGGGACAGGCAAAAUUGAAACUGGGAACCGGCCAAGCCUCCAAGGGGGGGCAGAAGGAGGGAAUCUGCAGAAAUGGGGGAAAGCCUGACGGAGCAACGCGGCGUGAGUGAUGAAGGUCUUCGGAUCGUAAAACGCUGUUAUUAGGGAAGAACAAAGGUGUAAGUAACUGUGCACAUCUGGACGGAACCAAAGCAGAAGGCCCCGGCUACUUACGU
RNAcentral lists this ribosomal RNA (496 nucleotides) under uncultured bacterium. Its description in RNAcentral is "partial 16S ribosomal RNA". It matches the Rfam family "Bacterial small subunit ribosomal RNA", at positions 28 to 506 of the family's 1533-position model. The record is from RNAcentral.